CUAGAGAAGGAGGACUUGAACCUCCACAGAAGAACUCAAAACUCUCCGUACUCCCAACUAUACUACCCCCUA
This 72-nucleotide transfer RNA is filed under the name Ptyctolaemus gularis. RNAcentral's name for it is "tRNA-Gln". The record is from RNAcentral. Lineage: Eukaryota; Metazoa; Chordata; Lepidosauria; Squamata; Agamidae.